GAGGGCAGUGUGUGUUGUGUGG
RNAcentral lists this microRNA (22 nucleotides) under Pongo pygmaeus (Bornean orangutan). RNAcentral describes it as "ppy-miR-2278". The record is from miRBase by way of RNAcentral. Lineage: Eukaryota; Metazoa; Chordata; Mammalia; Primates; Hominidae.